CCUACGGGAGGCAGCAGUAGGGAAUCUUCCACAAUGGGCGAAAGCCUGAUGGAGCAACGCCGCGUGGGUGAAGAAGGUCUUCGGAUCGUAAAACCCUGUUGUUAGAGAAGAAAGUGCGUGAGAGUAACUGUUCACGUUUCGACGGUAUCUAACCAGAAAGCCACGGCUAACUACGUGCCAGCAGCCGCGGUAAUACGUAGGUGGCAAGCGUUAUCCGGAUUUAUUGGGCGUAAAGGGAACGCAGGCGGUCUUUUAAGUCUGAUGUGAAAGCCUUCGGCUUAACCGGAGUAGUGCAUUGGAAACUGGGAGACUUGAGUGCAGAAGAGGAGAGUGGAACUCCAUGUGUAGCGGUGAAAUGCGUAGAUAUAUGGAAGAACACCAGGGGCGAAAGCGGCUCUCUGGGCUGUAACUGACGCUGAGGUUCGAAAGCGUGGGUAGCAAACAGGAUUAGAUACCCCAGUAGUC
RNAcentral lists this ribosomal RNA (465 nucleotides) under uncultured bacterium. Its description in RNAcentral is "partial 16S ribosomal RNA". It matches the Rfam family "Bacterial small subunit ribosomal RNA", at positions 338 to 795 of the family's 1533-position model. The record is from RNAcentral.